Pyrus x bretschneideri (Chinese white pear) is the source of this 539-nucleotide long non-coding RNA. RefSeq lists it as uncharacterized. The transcript has 3 exons. NCBI's taxonomy places the organism in Eukaryota, Viridiplantae, Streptophyta, Magnoliopsida, Rosales, Rosaceae. The record is from RefSeq and is a predicted model, not a curated record.
UUGGGGGAUACUUUCCAUUUUAAAAUUGUUUUUGAGCCUUAAUUGGUGAGCCCAAGGGGCCCACCCCUUAUUUUGUCCCCCCUGCCGUGUCCCUCCUUCCUUCUUUCUUCUUUUUCUUUUUUCUUCUUUUCCUUCUUUUCUUUUGUUGUCUGCACCUUUUUCCUUUCUUUUCGAAAACUCUCAUUCCUCUUCUUCUUCUUCUUCUACCCGUGACAACCACACACACACACACACCCACAGCUACACCUACUCGAGGAAAUCAUCACCAUCAUCGCCGUUGAACUGCUUCUCUCUCUCUCUUUCUCUCUCCCCUGCUCGCAGUGCCGGAGUACGCCGAGCACCUCCGGCGAGUUUUGGUUGUUUUUCCGGUUGGGUUUUGGAGUGCUUUGGCACGAGUGAAGGCACCCAAAUUUUCCGGCGAGUGUGUGUGGUUUCCGAGGGUUUUCCGGCCACCACAAGCCGUUUCACGGCGAACCCAAGGGGCAAUUAUCGAUGACGUUUCCUUCUUCGCUAGAUGACGUGGCUUUUCGACGGUGAAG